UGCGUAGGCGGAACUAUAAGUCAGAGGUGAAAUCACACAGCUUAACUGUGUAACUGCCUUUGAUACUGUAGAUCUUGAAUUAGGUUGAGGUUAGCGGAAUGUGACAUGUAGCGGUGAAAUGCAUAGAUAUGUCAUAGAACACCAAUUGCGAAGGCAGCUAGCUAGGCCUAUAUUGACGCUGAGGCACGAAAGCGUGGGGAGCGAACAGGAUUAGAUACCCUGGUAGUCC
This 229-nucleotide ribosomal RNA is filed under the name uncultured bacterium. Its description in RNAcentral is "partial 16S ribosomal RNA". It matches the Rfam family "Bacterial small subunit ribosomal RNA", at positions 568 to 796 of the family's 1533-position model. The record is from RNAcentral.